Molecule: long non-coding RNA, 2234 nt
Organism: Myiozetetes cayanensis
Lineage: Eukaryota; Metazoa; Chordata; Aves; Passeriformes; Tyrannidae
Exons: 3
Source: RefSeq, a predicted model, not a curated record
CAACACUUGAUGAGAUGACCUUUCUGCUUAUGGGUUAUAUUUUUUAAAGAAGGCAACAAUAAAAGAACUAUUUAGCCAAAUAUAAGUUAAGACAUUAAUCAGAGCAAAUGUUUUGAUUUUUAUUUACAAUUGUACAAGUCGUUCAACUCUUUGCAUCCUCAAAAGAGAGGUUUGAAAAUUCUCCCUCAGAAAUAAGCAAAAAUAUUUUCGGAGGCUGUUCCUUCCAAGCCUUUCAGAGUUUCCAAUAGGUAUUCACCAUUCUUGAAAUGCAAAGCCUGAACAAUGAAACAGGGGUUAAACUGGAAUUCUUGUUGCCAGCACUGAUCUGGACAGAAGUUCUUAGAGAGUGUAGCAAAGCCAGCAACAGAAAUAACCUUUGGCUCUCUAGCACAGCUCUGCAUUCAUUGGUCAUGGCAACAAAAGUUGGCUUUUAAACCCAUCUGCUAAGGAAACCUUUGCAGAAAUGUGAGCUUCUAAUGCUACUUUUCUUAAGAAGUUAGGAGGCCUUAAUACAGUGUACACAGAUGAGAGCCUGAAAGAGGAGAGAGCCCAGUUCCUGAUGAUGGGUGGAGAUGAGGAAUCAGGUAUGCUGAGCAGGCUUCGAGCUUUGUGAAUUUUACAAGUCCCUCAGGUUUUCCUAAGUGACUAUUUUCAAAUCUGUGGUAGAAGAAACAUUCGUUGCUGUUUGAUCAGCUUUCCAGACUAACUCUUUCGGCCUCAGUAGCCAAUUGCAACCUGCCCCGGGAAGUUCAGAAACGGCACCAUUCAUUAAAUACACUGUUGUGUCCCAGAGAUCCCACAGAGAUUCAGCUCCAGUGCUAAACCCCACAGAGUGUCAACUGCCAUAAUAGCUGCUUUUUGACUUGGAUGAGAGUCUCUCUUGUUUUCUUUGGUGUAGCUGGCACAUCUGGAGCAAGGGGUCUGGGCCAAAGUACCUCGUUACCAGGGGCCCGUACAGAUAAUGUUACAACAGUAGCCAUGUCUCUAAUUAAGGAAGGCAGUUAGAUAUAGGAAUUGAUUGUCAGAGGUUUGUAAGAAUGCGGUGAAACCUUUUACUUUCCUUUGGCAUCUCACACAAUCAAGACUAAACCAUGUAUUCUAGAUUACGUCUUGAAAGAAAUUUCCAGUUAGCAAGAAGUUUAAUGGGUUAGUUUGCCAUCAGUGUUUUGAUUAUGUUUUGCUGAAUCUAAGUUCAUAAGGAAUUGCUAAGGGUUUUUUCCUUCCUUCCCUCCACCCCCAAAUUUCAUGUGAUGAGACAGCUAUAGAAGAGUUUUUCAUAACUUUUAGUUAUGUUUCUCUUGUGGAGCUGUAGGCGUUACUGAGAAUGGGCUGGAGUGUCGCGGGUCAAGGCGGGACACGACACAAAUCCUUAUGGAUCCAGAGGCUGGAACACUUUAUUGCGCGAUGUCUGCUACUUUUAUACACUUUUUAGGCUACACAUGUCAACUCUCCACUGGUUCUCACAUACAUAAAUAUUCUUCCAUUGGCCACUAACGGUGUUAUAUAACUCUGCUUACUGUGCAUGUCACGAAACACAUUUUGCUGUGCUCAGCACAUUUUACCGGAAAACCAUAUUGUUACAACUUCCGGGUCCGGGCGUAAUUCUCCCCUGAACAAAGGUUCCUACUUAGCUUUAACUCUUCCCGAAUCCCCCAGGCCAGCUGGGGGAGAACCACCACACUGGAGUAAUGCAAUGAAUAUUUUCAUUCCUAGAAGACAUCGUGACAGCCCAUCAGGAGAAAAAAUUGCUCAAGAAAGAAAACACAAACCCAACCAAAAUGAUACUCAACCAUCUCAAGUCCAGUUGGGGAGAGCAUGGGCAGUGGACUGGUUUUCCUUGGCAAGCAUCCUUUUCCUGCUCCUGUUUGCCCCAUGGAUGGUGGAUUACUUCUUCACCAUGUCCUGUGAGCAGUGCCAGUACUCUCUGACUGAUCCCCUCAGGGACUUGCUCCCAGGGAACAUAUGUCUGCCUGACAUCUGGAACAAGACACCUAUGCUGACCAAGCGGGCUACUGGCAUCUAUUGCCUUUGGAUGGCUUUCCAGGUGUAGUGAAUAAAUAUGAACUCAGUGGACUUCAGGGCUGGAUCAUUACUCACAUGCUUUGGUUUGCAUGACUUCCACUUCUUCUGCCCCACCAUCCUUUUUGACACCUGGAUUCCUCUGCUGUGGUGUGCCAAUAUCCUGCGAUCUCCACUUUCCACAUUUGCAAUGAUGAAAGGCUCCUUCUUCCCUA